AGAUUGGUGUUCCCUCGGGAGUUAAAAAACUUUUUGAGAGAAAUGAUAGGGGAGCCAUUGUGAAAGAAUAUCACACAGAAAGCGAACUCCUAAACGGCCUGAUGAAUGAUAACGUAGCUAUGAUAAUGCUAUUCGACUGUGACACCGAGGAAAUGGAAAAAAAGCUUCCUCGCUUGACGAUAGUUGACGUAUUUGAAGGAUAUUUGAACGUCACGGUGAAUUUUACGGUGCAAGAAGGAUACAAAGACCUAGAACACUGUUUUCAGACAACUAAACGUGAAACCAGGAAAUCUUACGAGCAUGAGGAGAUGGGAGAUUAUGACCGGGACGAUGAGCGCGAGGAUAUGCAGAAUUCCUGUUUUGAAAAGUACAGCCAUGGAAAAAACCGACAUAAUAUGAAGCAAGGGUCAUCUGAGCGCGGAGUUUAACCCAACCUCUUCAUUCUACUGGCUUCUGCUGGCAUUCUCGUCAUUUUCUUGUUGAUCGGUUACCUUUGGAAUGUUUACAUGAAGAAGACACGGAAAGCAGAUGAUGUUGAUAUCGAAAAAGGAGUGUCUGACACCGAACUGAGAGCGAGUAUUAGUAGUAAAGUGCGCGUGAGGGAACUUUCAACACCAUCACUUGACCAUGAGAUAGAGGUGUGAUGACCAAAAACCCUCGCACAUGUCCAACGGAUACACGCUCAUUAAUUUAACAAAUACAUUAAAAUGAAGCG
This is a long non-coding RNA of Stylophora pistillata, 715 nucleotides long. The record is from RefSeq and is a predicted model, not a curated record. NCBI's taxonomy places the organism in Eukaryota, Metazoa, Cnidaria, Anthozoa, Scleractinia, Pocilloporidae.